AUCACCUGGGGAUCUUGUCAAAUGUAGAUUUUGAUUCAGCAGGUAUAAGGUGUGAUUCUACAUUUCUAACAAGCUCCUAGGUGAUGCUGA
Molecule: microRNA precursor, 90 nt
Filed under: Cercocebus atys (sooty mangabey)
Lineage: Eukaryota; Metazoa; Chordata; Mammalia; Primates; Cercopithecidae
Also listed under: 2 other names
Description: mir-544 microRNA precursor family
Rfam family: mir-544 microRNA precursor family
Source: Rfam by way of RNAcentral